CUGAAGUGUCCAGUUUUUUCUGGAUUUGCACAUAUGUAGAUAUUUAUAUACUCCCCCAGAAGCUCUCGCGUUAAAAUAAUUCCAACUUCCGUGCCAGGCCGCAAAGUAGAUCGAUUAAUUUUAUCGACUGCGAAACAUUUCUAUCAAUCUCAUCGAACAUCAAACUUAUAGAGCCUCGCGGAAUUGCGAAACCCUGCAGCAGUCGGUAUGCGGAGCCGAGCAUCCAGGUGGUGCACUGCCGAUCUAUGCACAAUACACAUCCCAUACAUUGUAUACUGCACAUAAUUGUAAGUGCGUACCUACAGGCACGCUAUACCAGUUGGCCAACAGGGUUGAUGAGCUCGCACGUGAGUGCGGAGGACGCGCCGAGCAUGAAGUUACGGUUGGGAGUCGCGUGCUCGGCAUAAGCGCAAUGGAUUGCAAGCUCUUAAUGGCUCCUGCAUGAUAAUUUCCUAUCACGAGCGCGUAAAUUGAACGUUUCAAUAAGAAGAUGCUUGAUUGACGCGUGUAGUGCAUACACUCGACUGCAUUGUAAUUUUCGCAGCAGCGGAUGAUAUAAGAUUCCCGCAAAUUAGUUCCGCAGCAGUUUCGCGGUAGCACUUGAGCUUCGAGCAAACGAUACUCUAAUUCCCGAUAGGUGUGCCCGAAGGGCCAACGGCGUUCCGGAGCGAUAAAGCAUGCUCGCCGAGGGUGAAUCGCGUUGCGCAGCUUGUGGCGUGAUGCGCUUGCCCGCGCUGCUCGUAUAAGAGAGAGAGAGAGAGAGAGAGAGAGAGAAUGGCAGAGAAUGGCAGGCUUAUACCAGAGCGGGAUGAAAAGGGAAAAGAAGACUAAGGGCCAGGACAGCUAAAAAGGCAUAGACCACAGCCACAAGGAACAAGAAGGAACAACGGCGCUGUGUGUCGUUCUGUCGUCUUGUGUGUAUGGUAAAUAAGUAUGAAUGUAUCUACAGCAACAGUAUUAUAUUGUUGUUUGCAACUAUUAUCUUUGGCAUCAGAACUUCUUGAAGCCUGGCAAUAUGAAAAGAGCAAACGGUGGAUAAAUAGACGAUGGCUACGUCGUCCUAUCAAUAAAAAACGCUUAACUCAUGGAUUUUUUACAAGUCAGUUUCAAAAAAUGAAGCUUGGUAAUGAUAUCUUUUUCCAAUACGUUCGAAUGGAUGUUGACACUUUUAAUUAUUUGUUGUCAAUGGUGGAGCCUUAUAAUUGAGGAAUCGUAAGAAGAAACGAGAUGCUAUAUCUGCUGAACAGCGAUUAACUAUAACGCUAAGAUACCUUGCAAGUGGUGAUGAUAUCCUAUCAAUAGCGAUUUCAUACAGGCUAGGCAAGUCAACCGUUCAUAGCAUAAUUAAAAGAACAUGCAGCGUUAUCCAUCAAGUAUUAUCUCCUAUCUAUUUAAGACCUCCAUGCGCUCCAGUUUGGAGAAAUAUUAGCAAAGGUUUCGAACAGGAUUGGCAACUACCUGGGUGCAUUGGCGCAGUUGAUGGGAAACAUAUCUGUAUCCAAUCUCCUCCAGAUUCUGGAGCUCUUUUUUACAACUAUAUAAAGUUUCAUAGUAUUGUUUUACUUGCUGCGUGCAACCACAGAUAUGAAUUUACUGUAGUUGAAUUCGGUGCUUAUGGUAGUGAAAGUGAUGGUGGUAUAUUUUCAAGAAGUGAAUUUGGUAAAUCUUUAGACGAAGGUCGUUUAAACAUACCUACUGAAAGUGUAAAGAAGAGGAAAUUUCCAAAAGAAAACAAAUAAUGCUACAAAGCAAACUUUCAAAAGUAAAACUCAACAAAGUCCUUCAGAGUUAUUACAGGAUGAUACUACAGAGGAUGUUCUUUCAGAUUGUUUGAAUGAGUCAACCAACGAGGAAUUGCAACAGGUUCAAUAUGAAAAUAUUGAAAUUGAAUCACCCAGCUUAUUCAACGAUGAAAAUUCUACAUUGUCUCCAGGGCACAAAGAAUCAAUUGAAGAUAUGAAUAAUGAGGAUGUUGUCUCUGAAAUGGCACUAACUGAAAAUACGAUGCAAAGUCAGAAUAUUUCUAGAGAAAAUGAGACUCAGUCACAAGACAAGGUCACUAACAGUCCAAAAAGUACAACCUCUACACCUCGCACUCCUUUACUUGAUAUGACAGUUUCUUUUAAUAAUAAUAACAUCGAUAAUGAAAUGAAACAAACAUUCAAUUAAAAAAAAUAUAUCACAGGGAUGAAGAAAAUAAUGCCAUUGCUGAUUUGGUGACUAAGCGUCUACGAAAAAUUGAAGAA
Molecule: long non-coding RNA, 2246 nt
Filed under: Nasonia vitripennis (jewel wasp)
Lineage: Eukaryota; Metazoa; Arthropoda; Insecta; Hymenoptera; Pteromalidae
Description: uncharacterized LOC100680425, transcript variant X4
Source: RNAcentral